Molecule: unclassified non-coding RNA, 1879 nt
Filed under: Hevea brasiliensis (rubber tree)
Lineage: Eukaryota; Viridiplantae; Streptophyta; Magnoliopsida; Malpighiales; Euphorbiaceae
Source: RNAcentral
GAAACCACCAAAAGGUGAACUCAGAACUGUGACUGUUGCUUUAGAUACGGCACAGUACCACAUGGAUGUCACUGAUAUAGCAGAGAACGGUGCAGAAGAUGUUUAUAGGACAUUUAAUGUACUGAUGAGGAGGAAACCUAAGGAAAACAACUUCAAAGCAAUUUUAGAAUCCAUAAGAGAUCUCAUGAAUGAAUACUGCAUUGUUCCUGACUGGUUGCACAACAUAUUUCUGGGCUAUGGGAAUCCUUCUGCAGCACAGUGGACCAAUAUGCCUGAUCUUCUCGAAACAGUAGAUUUCAAGGAUACUUUCCUUGAUGCAGACCAUUUAAAGGAGAGUUUUCCAGAUUAUCAGGUUUGUUUUGUAAAUGCAGACAGUACAGAAAACUUGAAUCUAAGACCUCCCUUCCGAAUUAGGCUUCCUAGAACACUGAAAGGCAACACUCAUGCACUCCCAGGAAAUAAGAAAUUAACUAUUGAUUCAAUGAAUGAUGUCGAUAUGGAGGAUGCUGGUGGUGAGAAAGAAAAACUUAUUGUUGAGGCAUACAUUCCUCCGGACCCAGGGCCGUAUCCCCAAGAUCAGCCAAAACAGAAUUCAGUCAGAUUUACACCUACACAGAUUGGAGCAAUCCUAUCUGGUAUCCAGCCAGGAUUAACUAUGGUGGUUGGACCACCUGGUACAGGAAAGACUGAUACAGCUGUGCAAAUUUUGAAUGUUCUUUAUCACAAUUGCCCUUCUCAAAGAACAUUAAUAAUCACCCAUUCAAAUCAGGCUUUAAAUGACCUUUUUGAGAAGAUAAUGCAGAGAGAUGUACCUGCACGCUAUCUUCUUCGACUGGGUCAAGGUGAACAAGAACUAGCAACCGAUCUGGAUUUCAGCAGGCAAGGUCGUGUUAAUGCAAUGCUCGUUCGACGGUUAGAACUACUUAAUGAAGUGGAGAGGCUUGCAAGAUCUCUCCAACUUCCUGAGGAUGUUGGUUAUACUUGUGAAACUGCUGGAUACUUUUGGUUGCUUCAUGUAUACUCCCGUUGGGAACAGUUCCUUGCUGCUUGUGAGGAUAACAAAGAUAAACCAACAUUUGUUCAGGACCGCUUCCCCUUUAAGGAAUUCUUUUCCAACACGCCUCAGCCAGUUCUCACAGGUCAGUCAUUUGAGAAAGACAUGCGGGCAGCUAUGGGGUGUUUUCGUCAUCUCAAGACUAUGUUCCAAGAACUAGAAGAGUGUAGAGCAUUUGAAUUGCUUAAAUUAACAGCUGAUCGAGCAAAUUAUCUUAUGACGAAGCAAGCCAAGAUAGUGGCAAUGACCUGCACUCAUGCAGCACUGAAAAGGAAGGACUUUCUUCAGUUAGGCUUCAAGUAUGACAACUUGUUGAUGGAAGAAAGUGCUCAAAUUUUGGAGAUUGAAACUUUUAUCCCAAUGUUGCUGCAGAGGCAGGAAGAUGGUUAUGCACGGCUAAAACGCUGCAUACUGAUUGGAGAUCAUCAUCAGGUACCUCCAAUUAUAAAGCUUGGCUAUGCUUGGCCUGGCUCUACCCUGGGCAUUGAGCUCAAUGUAAGGAAUACCCAGACGAACAAACCUGGUANNNNNNNAGCUCUGAUCCAUAUGGCUGUAUUUCUGAAAGGCCAUAUUCUUCACAACUGGGGGUAACUGAUGAUGAUCUCCAAUCAGUAUGCAGCGUUUUAGCCGUGCAUAACCAUCUUCCUGCCUCUGCAGCAACAUUGGGAUAAAAGUUUCAAUCUCCAAAAUUUGAGCACUUUCUUCCAUCAACAAGUUGUCAUACUUGAAGCCUAACUGAAGAAAGUCCUUCCUUUUCAGUGCUGCAUGAGUGCAGGUCAUUGCCACUAUCUUGGCUUGCUUCGUCAUAAGAUAAUUUGCUCGAUC